This is a long non-coding RNA of Helianthus annuus (common sunflower), 255 nucleotides long. RefSeq lists it as uncharacterized. NCBI's taxonomy places the organism in Eukaryota, Viridiplantae, Streptophyta, Magnoliopsida, Asterales, Asteraceae. The record is from RefSeq and is a predicted model, not a curated record. The transcript is spliced from 2 exons.
UUUUUAUUUAACUUUUCUAUGGUUUAGUUUUUUGGAAUCUGAAUAAGGUUGGUUGGGUCUGACAAAAAAAGAAGGAAACUGGCUAUAGUCAUUUGCCACUGGAUUAAGGAGGAGCCGGUUGACCAUCUCUUCGUGUCUUGCCACUUCGCCUCAAGGUGUUUGGGACCGGGUUGCAAGCUGAUGUCGUCUAACUGGGUUGUAUAUGUUUGAAAGCAAAGAUUUGGUCGGAUAUCAUUGCCGUGCGGGUGGGUCGAC